CAACUUACCUGGCAGGGGAGAUACCAUGAUCACGUAGGUGGUUUUCCCAGGCUUAUCCACUGCACUCCGUAUGGGCUGACCCCUGCAAUUUCCCCAAAUGUGAGAAACUCCACUGCAUAAUUUUUGGUAGUGGGGGACUGUGUUCAUGCUCUCCCCUG
Sorex fumeus (smoky shrew) is the source of this 158-nucleotide small nuclear RNA. RefSeq annotates it as U1 spliceosomal RNA. Lineage: Eukaryota; Metazoa; Chordata; Mammalia; Eulipotyphla; Soricidae. The transcript has a single exon. The record is from RefSeq and is a predicted model, not a curated record.